Long non-coding RNA from Nerophis ophidion (straightnose pipefish), 1069 nucleotides. RefSeq lists it as uncharacterized. NCBI's taxonomy places the organism in Eukaryota, Metazoa, Chordata, Actinopteri, Syngnathiformes, Syngnathidae. The transcript has 3 exons. The record is from RefSeq and is a predicted model, not a curated record.
CAUUAAUCACAGGUGUGUUUGCUUGACUCCCAGGCCUGCUGUGACGUCAUCACAUCGCCAACAGCUUGGUUAUUGGGGGGCAACAGGUGUGUUCUCAGGAGUGUCCAUGGUUGAAGCAGGACAGUCCUUGAAGGACGUCAGACUCACGUGCUGCUUUCCAUUUCCGCGACACUUCGCAUCCCACGCGAGCCAUCUGAGGCGGCGCCAUGUUUCCUGUCCACAACAGCAAGUAAGACGAGUUUAAUUUGAACUUUUUACGUGUCAAGUCGGAUGAAGUGUUGCUCCCCAACUCAAGCACCUGUCUGUGAAUGAACGGGUCGGCGUACGCGGUUGUCAUGGUUACUUGUCAAGUUGAAAUGGGUUGGGGGAACGUAGAAGGAAGUUGGGUUGGGUUAUUUUCCAAGUAAAACUACAACAUUCCUCUCUGGGUCGAAAUGAAGCCACGUUUCAUGCAUGUUAUUAUUAUUGUUAUUAUUACUGAGUGGGACAAUGACUAUAAUUUGACUUAUUGAUGUAUUUGGUGACGCUUUCAGGAAGUGACUAUUUUUUGGUAAACUUUUAUUUUGAAACUGACUUCCGGAAGUGUAACAGCCAGUAUAAAAGUUUUAGCUAUACUCAAUAAUGUUUGUUGCUUCGAAGGAAUUUCAAUCUGCGCUUAGGCGUUAUAUUAACACACUAAUGCGCCAUAAAGUGGUCCUCUAAGACCCCUCCUCCUGGGUUAGUCUCCUAGAAACAAAUCCCCUUUGUCCUCUCCCGGAUCUAUAUCCUGUUCUUUAUCACCUAAACAUACAUUACCUUUCACUAUUCUCUUUGAGCACUCAACCAUGACUUCAUCAUUUGACCAGCAGAGGGCGCCUGAGUACCAACGCAAUGCUCGAGCGGUCUACUUUCGCCCACAAAACGCAACUCAUGAGGGAAGUAGUAAGCAGUGUAACUCAAAUUGUAAUUAGUGCGCAGUAUUUACAUGUUGAAUAUGAAUUAACUAUUAGAGUGGAAUCUAUGUUAAGAAUAGGACCUCAUUGAAAUGUCGAGCUUCCGUUUUGGUUGCUUCUUCGUGCUCAAGUGAUGC